Molecule: long non-coding RNA, 95 nt
Organism: Amblyraja radiata (thorny skate)
Lineage: Eukaryota; Metazoa; Chordata; Chondrichthyes; Rajiformes; Rajidae
Exons: 3
Source: RefSeq, a predicted model, not a curated record
UUCGGAAUACCGAACGCGCUUAUUCCCUGCCAGUUCAUGUGUCUGUCCAAAUACCUCAUAAGCAUUGCUAUUGUAUCUGCUGCCAGUACCUUUCC